UGCAUCUGUUAAUUUUUUUAAAUUUUUUUAUUUAAAUUCAUGCGUCUGUUAUUAAAUGAAAUUGAGUUUAUACAUUUAGACCCAGGUCUGUGUGACAUUGCACCGGUCAGCUAAAGUCUCUGGGUGUUAGAAUCCUCAUAUGUAAGUUAACAGAGCUGGACUAGGUAAUCUUUAAAGUUCUUUUUUCACUCGGACAUCUGCAAUUCCAUGGAAAAAGAAAAAGCCUUUCAAUUCUUUAUUCAAGCCAUCAUUUAUGAACAUUUUGCCCUCUAGUGGCAAGAAUCAAGGAAAAACUAUUCCUCCUGAGGAAAACUUUCACGUCCACAUCCCUAUCAAAACCUGGUAUUUUGAUGAAUGCUUAGGCUUGCUUCAAUAUUUUUCUAGUUAUGUCUACCGAAAAGUUACUCCCAAAAUUAGCAGCUUUCAACAACAAACAUUUAUGAAGUUUCCAAGAGUCAGGAACUUCCGAGCAGCUUCCUGCAACCAAGGAGUCAGCCUUGCUCAGCUCACUCAUCCGAAAGCUUGACCAGGCAGGAGGAGGUGCUUCCAAGCUCGUGAGGCUGGUGACAGGAGGCUUCAGUUCCUAGACUUUCGGAUUUCUCCAUAGGGCCACUCAAGACACGGUAGCUGGGUCCUUCCAAGCUUUCCUUUAGGGAGAAGAAUAUUAUAACCGAAAAUUAAAUCAAAGCUGUUGCUUAUCAAUAAGAACAAUCAAGAAGAGAAAGAUGGAAGAUUGCCUUGGAAAUAGGAGAGGACCAAUGAAAUAUUAAUGUUCUGUGGGCCUGGGGCCCAGAGAGACUAAUAUUCAAUGAGUGUCUUUAGACCUCAAGCAUCCACUGUAUAUAGCAGUAUCAGUGUUUGUUUGGGUAAUGAGACAACAGAAUUCCAGGAAAUGGAGCAAGAUUGUCCACCAAAGAGCCCAGCAUAAUAAUGAGCAACCAUCUGGAAACUUUGGCUUUGAUACCAGCUGAAGAAACAGAGGUUGGUUAAGUGUUUACUCAAGUGACUUAGCAGCCAAAGCUGCACAUCAUGUGUCCUUAUCUACAGAGUUUGCUAAGUGGGGCCUUGCAAGAAGGGGUUGAUAUCCUGCAAGCAUAUUUCAUCCCAACACCAUGACACAUGAAACAUGUUGUUGUACAGCAAACAUUCCAAGACUGAGUAUGUUUCUCAAAUUUGAUCUCUUUCCUGGAUUCCCAGGUUUUCCAGGCUUUCAUGCAAAUACCUUUACUUUUGUUGACAUUAUUUUUCUAAUGAUUAUUAUUGUCCAAAAAAA
This is a long non-coding RNA of Canis lupus familiaris (dog), 1273 nucleotides long. RefSeq lists it as uncharacterized. Lineage: Eukaryota; Metazoa; Chordata; Mammalia; Carnivora; Canidae. The record is from RefSeq and is a predicted model, not a curated record. The transcript is spliced from 3 exons.